UACAGAGGUGGCAAGCGUUGUUCGGAAUUACUGGGCGUAAAGGGCGCGUAGGGGGUCUUGCAAGUCCUGUGUGAAAUCCCUCGGCUCAACUGAGGAACUGCACAGGAAACUGCUUGGCUUGAGUUCGGGAGAGGGAAGCGGAAUUCCGGGUGUAGUGGUGAAAUGCGUAGAUAUCCGGAGGAACACCAGUGGCGAAGGCGACUUUCUGGCCUGUUCUUGACGCUGAGGCGCGAAAGCUAGGGGAGCAAACGGG
Molecule: ribosomal RNA, 253 nt
Filed under: uncultured bacterium
Lineage: Bacteria
Description: partial 16S ribosomal RNA
Rfam family: Bacterial small subunit ribosomal RNA
Source: RNAcentral